ACCUCCAGCAUGCUCAGAAAGCACGAACCAAACACACGAACGCCCCGGCGUUCGGUAGAUGGAAUCCCCCAAACGAGGGGAUUCAUACGAAUGGUAACAGUUGCCUGGAUGCCUAAGUCAUUCGGGACUUUGUGUUCACUAGAAAAGACCGACCGCAGUGCCAGAAUUCAUGGAACUGUUUUCGGCUACUGAGCCCCUGCGGUC
Pelobates cultripes (western spadefoot toad) is the source of this 204-nucleotide non-coding RNA. The record is from the annotation of a GenBank genome assembly. Lineage: Eukaryota; Metazoa; Chordata; Amphibia; Anura; Pelobatidae.